This 716-nucleotide unclassified non-coding RNA is filed under the name Ogataea paradorogensis. Its description in RNAcentral is "partial contains ITS1, 5.8S rRNA and ITS2". The stretch from base 333 to 486 matches the Rfam family "5.8S ribosomal RNA". Lineage: Eukaryota; Fungi; Ascomycota; Pichiomycetes; Pichiales; Pichiaceae. The record is from RNAcentral.
UUUCCGUAGGUGAACCUGCGGAAGGAUCAUUACAGUAUUCUUCUAAACUGGAGUUGUAUACCUGUUAAUUGAUUUGCUUGCGCUGCUGAAAUAUUGCGUGCGCGGCAAGAGAUUAGCUGGUUGCAGUUCUAUUCAAGGUUUAGAAAACCCCAUACACACUUUGUAUUCUUAUUAGAGACAAAUUUGCUUUGGUCAGUGGCUGUGUAAAAGCAGCACGUCUGGCCAGAGGUUUUAACAAAACUCAUUUUCAUUUUCCCUCGGGAAGAUUGAGAACUUGAUAUUUUAUUAUUGUCAGCUUUAAAGAGUUGCGUAGCAGCUUUUCUAAACUUUAAAACUUUCAACAACGGAUCUCUUGGUUCUCGCAUCGAUGAAGAACGCAGCGAAAUGCGAUAAGUAAUGUGAAUUGCAGAUUUUCGUGAAUCAUUGAAUCUUUGAACGCACAUUGCGCCCUCUGGUAUUCCAGAGGGCAUGCCUGUUUGAGCGUCAUUUCCUUCUCAAACCCUUGGGUUUGGUGAUGGGCAAUACUCUCGUACGAGAGUUUGCUUGAAAUGAAUUGGCAUGGGUUUUUGUUAUGAACUACAGCUGUUUAUUCAAUGUAUUAGGUUUAAUCCAUCGUUGAUUGGCAAUUGUUAGCUUCUCUCAAAAUUUGGCCCUGCCUUACAAACUUUAUCAUAAAGUUUGACCUCAAAUCAGGUAGGAUUACCCGCUGAACUUAA